Molecule: long non-coding RNA, 312 nt
Organism: Amphimedon queenslandica
Lineage: Eukaryota; Metazoa; Porifera; Demospongiae; Haplosclerida; Niphatidae
Exons: 3
Source: RefSeq, a predicted model, not a curated record
GGAGUCUAUUUUGUCAAUAAACUACAAAAUAUUAAAUUGAAUUACACUGUCUCUCUCAGAGGUUCCCUGUCAUGGACUGGUGAUAUAUUAUGUAGUGGGUCAAUAUUACAGUGGGAUCCACGUCUAUCAGGAGACUAUUAGACCACACCCAGGAGGUCUGUGGGAUUCACUGGUCACCAAAUCAUCAGCAACUGGUGUCAGGAGGAAAUGAUAAUAUAGUUAUGGUAUACUGUUACUGUUCUUACGAGGUACCCAAUGUAUGCUCCUUUUCAUCAAAGAGGAAGAAUUACUCUAACAACUAGAUCAGUAGCG